UGAAAGGCGGAGCCCACUUCAGAAGGGGUAGGACCUGAAAUUCUGCAUUUCUAACAUUGCCCCCAGGUGAUGCAGAAGCUUCUGGUCCAUUCCCACCAACGUAGCAAGGGCUAGGAGGACAGCGCUCCCCAGCUUUGCUCUCAUCUGUGGACAAAGGACUGCGAUAUUGGGGAAAACUACUCAUCUGAAACCUGCUGGCCAACGUUCAUUCAUUCAUUCAUUCAUUCAUCAUUCCCCACUACCACCACUACCAAAACAGGGCUCAUAAAGGUUACCUAGGACUCCAACAUUGCAAAAGCUAAAGGUAUGAUACAAAAAAAGUUAUUGCCUCUCUGACAACAAGCAGGGAGCCUGAAUCUCUGUGAUCCCCUGGCCCUGUCACUUGUCCUAUAGAAAGAGAGAAGACAUCGUGGGGAGAGGGAGCUUCAGACCUUGGGUCUUAAUUACCUACACAGGGUUUGGGCACUGCUAUUCAUUUAGCCCUUAACUGACCUGUCC
Molecule: long non-coding RNA, 498 nt
Organism: Canis lupus familiaris (dog)
Lineage: Eukaryota; Metazoa; Chordata; Mammalia; Carnivora; Canidae
Exons: 3
Source: RefSeq, a predicted model, not a curated record